UUAAAUUGAAGAGUUUGAUCAUGGCUCMGAUUGAACGCUGGCGGCAGGCCUAACACRUGCAAGSCGAACGGUAACAGGAAGCAGCUUGCUGCUUUGCUGACGAGUGGCGGACGGGUGAGUAAUGUCUGGGAAACUGCCCGAUGGAGGGGGAUAACUACUGGAAACGGUA
This 169-nucleotide ribosomal RNA is filed under the name Escherichia coli. RNAcentral describes it as "partial 16S ribosomal RNA". It matches the Rfam family "Bacterial small subunit ribosomal RNA", at positions 1 to 161 of the family's 1533-position model. The record is from RNAcentral. Lineage: Bacteria; Pseudomonadati; Pseudomonadota; Gammaproteobacteria; Enterobacterales; Enterobacteriaceae.